UUUUCUUAUCAAAGUUGCAAAAAUGAAAGUGAUUUCUGUGCUUCUGUUAGCAGUUGUUGCCGUUUUCGGCAUUUUAACUUUUUCUGUCGAAGCUACACCAAUUAGAAGUUUAGAGACACCUACAAAAGCCCCUUCUAAAUCCAUAAAUGUUUCCAAACUUCCCUCCAUUCCGGAAAAGAAAUGAUCUCCCUAAGAAGGCAGUGGCGUCAUCCUCCAUUCUAAGGUUAUGGGAAAAGAGUAAUGAUUAAUGCACUGGUACAAAGUAAGAUAAAAACAUCAUUGAAAUGUUUUUUUAACGUUCGAUAAUAAAAAUGAUUUCCCAAAGA
Molecule: long non-coding RNA, 326 nt
Organism: Uranotaenia lowii
Lineage: Eukaryota; Metazoa; Arthropoda; Insecta; Diptera; Culicidae
Exons: 3
Source: RefSeq, a predicted model, not a curated record